GAUGAACGCUAGCUACAGGCUUAACACAUGCAAGUCGAGGGGUAACGAGAGGGAAGCUUGCUUUCCUUGUCGGCGACCGGCGCACGGGUGAGUAACGCGUAUCCAACCUGCCCCCAACUAGGGAAUAACCUUGCGAAAGUAAGACUAAUACCCUAUAAUUUCCUCAGAUGUCAUCUGACGAGGAAUAAAGAUUUAUCGGUUGUGGAUGGGGAUGCGUCUGAUUAGCUUGUUGGCGGGGCAACGGCCCACCAAGGCAACGAUCAGUAGGGGUUCUGAGAGGAAGGUCCCCCACAUUGGAACUGAGACACGGUCCAAACUCCUACGGGAGGCAGCAGUGAGGAAUAUUGGUCAAUGGGCGGAAGCCUGAACCAGCCAAGUAGCGUGCAGGAUGACGGCCCUAUGGGUUGUAAACUGCUUUUAUACAGGAAUAAAGUUAGCCACGUGUGGUUAUUUGUAGGUACUGUAUGAAUAAGGACCGGCUAAUUCCGUGCCAGCCGCCGCGGUAA
RNAcentral lists this ribosomal RNA (506 nucleotides) under uncultured bacterium. RNAcentral's name for it is "partial 16S ribosomal RNA". It matches the Rfam family "Bacterial small subunit ribosomal RNA", at positions 28 to 523 of the family's 1533-position model. The record is from RNAcentral.